RNAcentral lists this ribosomal RNA (497 nucleotides) under uncultured bacterium. Its description in RNAcentral is "partial 16S ribosomal RNA". It matches the Rfam family "Bacterial small subunit ribosomal RNA", at positions 28 to 507 of the family's 1533-position model. The record is from RNAcentral.
GAUGAACGCUGGCGGCGUGCCUAAUACAUGCAAGUCGAGCGAACAGACGAGGAGCUUGCUCCUCUGACGUUAGCGGCGGACGGGUGAGUAACACGUGGAUAACCUACCUAUAAGACUGGGAUAACUUCGGGAAACCGGAGCUAAUACCGGAAAAUAUAUUGAACCGCAUGGUUCAAUAGUGAAAGACGGUUUUGCUGUCACUUAUAGAUGGAUCCGCGCCGCAUUAGCUAGUUGGUAAGGUAACGGCUUACCAAGGCGACGAUGCGUAGCCGACCUGAGAGGGUGAUCGGCCACACUGGAACUGAGACACGGUCCAGACUCCUACGGGAGGCAGCAGUAGGGAAUCUUCCGCAAUGGGCGAAAGCCUGACGGAGCAACGCCGCGUGAGUGAUGAAGGUCUUCGGAUCGUAAAACUCUGUUAUUAGGGAAGAACAAAUGUGUAAGUAACUAUGCACGUCUUGACGGUACCUAAUCAGAAAGCCACGGCUAACUACGUG